AUGCAAGUCGAACGGAAACCUUCGGGGUACUCGAGUGCGAACGGGUGAGUAACACGUGGGUGAUCUGCCCUGCACUUUGGGAUAAGCCUGGGAAACUGGGUCUAAUACCGAAUAGGACUACGGCCUGCAUGGGUUGUGGUGGAAAGCUUUUGCGGUGUGGGAUGGGCCCGCGGCCUAUCAGCUUGUUGGUGAGGUUACGGCUCACCAAGGCGACGACGGGUAGCCGGCCUGAGAGGGUGACCGGCCACACUGGGACUGAGAUACGGCCCAGACUCCUACGGGAGGCAGCAGUGGGGAAUAUUGCACAAUGGGCGCAAGCCUGAUGCAGCGACGCCGCGUGAGGGAUGACGGCCUUCGGGUUGUAAACCUCUUUCGCCAGGGACGAAGCGCAAGUGACGGUACCUGGAGAAGAAGGACCGGCCAACUACGUGCCAGCAGCCGCGGUAAUACGUAGGGUCCGAGCGUUGUCCGGAAUUACUGGGCGUAAAGAGCUCGUAGGUGGUUUGUCGCGUUGUUCGUGAAAACUCACAGCUUAACUGUGGGCGUGCGGGCGAUACGGGCAGACUGGAGUACUGCAGGGGAGACUGGAAUUCCUGGUGUAGCGGUGGAAUGCGCAGAUAUCAGGAGGAACACCGGUGGCGAAGGCGGGUCUCUGGGCAGUAACUGACGCUGAGGAGCGAAAGCGUGGGGAGCGAACAGGAUUAGAUACCCUGGUAGUCCACGCCGUAAACGGUGGGUACUAGGUGUGGGUUUCCUUCCUUGGGAUCCGUGCCGUAGCUAACGCAUUAAGUACCCCGCCUGGGGAGUACGGCCGCAAGGCUAAAACUCAAAGAAAUUGACGGGGGCCCGCACAAGCGGCGGAGCAUGUGGAUUAAUUCGAUGCAACGCGAAGAACCUUACCUGGGUUUGACAUGCACAGGACGUGCCUAGAGAUAGGUAUUCCCUUGUGGCCUGUGUGCAGGGGGCAUGGUGUCGUCACCUGUCGUGAGAUGUUGGAAGUCCCG
Molecule: ribosomal RNA, 1004 nt
Filed under: Mycolicibacterium aurum
Lineage: Bacteria; Bacillati; Actinomycetota; Actinomycetes; Mycobacteriales; Mycobacteriaceae
Description: bacterial SSU rRNA
Rfam family: Bacterial small subunit ribosomal RNA
Source: RNAcentral